AAAAGUCGUAACAAGGUUUCCGUAGGUGAACCUGCGGAAGGAUCAUUAAUGAGUUUGUGCGGUUGUCGCUGGUUCUUACAAGUGCACGCCGUAUCUUCUUCAUCCACCCCACUGUGCAUCUCGGUACGCCUUUGCGCGUAGUCCUUUAUAUUUAUACACCUUUGUAAUGUUAAGAACGUGCUCGUAAUAAAAAUAAUGUACAACUAUCAACAACGGAUCUCUUGGCAUCCCGCUCGAUGAAGAACGCAGCGAAUUGCGAUAAGUAAUGUGAAUUGCAGAAUUCAGUGAAUCAUCGAAUCUUUGAACGCACCUUGCACCCUCUGGUAUUCCGGAGGGUAUGCCCGGUUGAGUAUUAUAAUCGACUCAAGCCUCUGGUUUCUAAUUGCAAAGGUCGGAUGACCGACGAAACCGUCUAUUGGGACGGCGGUAGUUGGAGUUUGACUUGGAAUCCGGAUGGCCUUGGACUUGAGCGCAUGUCGGUUUCACUUAGAGAUCGACUCGCUUGAAAUGUAUUAGCUGGCGACCCAACUAACGGUUUCACUCGACGUAGUAAGCCUUUAUUUCGUUGAGGACAUCUUUUCUUAAGGUGACCGGUAGACACGGGUGUUGAGCCGCUUCUAAUUGUCUUAGGACAAGCGACCGAAAGUCUAAUCUCAACUCGGGUAGGAUUACCCGCUGAACUUAAGCAUAUCAAUAAGCGGAGGAAAAGAAACU
This 714-nucleotide unclassified non-coding RNA is filed under the name uncultured Tulasnellaceae. Its description in RNAcentral is "partial contains small subunit ribosomal RNA, internal# transcribed spacer 1, 5.8S ribosomal RNA, internal# transcribed spacer 2, and large subunit ribosomal RNA". The stretch from base 202 to 355 matches the Rfam family "5.8S ribosomal RNA". The record is from RNAcentral. Lineage: Eukaryota; Fungi; Basidiomycota; Agaricomycetes; Cantharellales; Tulasnellaceae.